Long non-coding RNA from Junco hyemalis (dark-eyed junco), 2187 nucleotides. The record is from Ensembl. Lineage: Eukaryota; Metazoa; Chordata; Aves; Passeriformes; Passerellidae.
GGGAGAAAAUGGAUCCAUCUGUUUAUAAUUUCAUGUGUAUAAAUCCAUUUUUCUUAUUGUACUGUAGGCGUUGGAAGCAGCCACCAGCCGUCCAACAGCUCAGCCACGGAGAGGUUCAGUUCGGAUUUCCCCAGCACCAGCACCUCCAUUUCCACAACAGCUGCCAAGGCUGGAGGGAGGACAUUGAGGUCUCUGCCAGCCAGCACCAGGCUGGUCACCAUGGCAGAGAUUUCCACCUCUGAGACUGAAAUCAGCAGCUCCUCAGCCCAGAGCCAGACCCCUGGCAUGUCUCUGGGUGCCCAGGGUGAUGGAGGCAGAGGUGUCACAGACCCAUUGCUCUCAGGCUUGCCAUCCAUUUCAGGAAGUGCUUCCACAACUGCUGGCAGCAGUUAUGAAUCUCCCAGGAGCAUCCCAGGUGCAGAAGAGACAACGGAGCACUUGGACAUCCAGGCUGCUGACAUGUCCAGCAUGGCAGUGGGGACACUGAUGUCCCCAGAAAAUGACCACACAGCAGAGGUGACAAGGCACUCUGCCACCAGCAGCAACCCCACAAGCUCUUUGGGUGGGACCUCCUCUUCCUUGAGGACUGGGACACAUCAUCUCAACAGCACAUGGGAAGCCACUGAUCUCCCAGGCCCUCCUUUGCUCACGAGCUCCCUCUCUGCCUCUGAAGGUCCUUUCCCAGGUGUCAGAGGCAACAGACCAGUGGCAGAGAAAACCUCCCUCGCUUCCUCUGCCACCAGCACUCCCAUUUCAGCCACAUCCAGCAGUGGGGGGAGGCUCCCCAGGUCAGCCUCGGGCAGCAGCCCCUGGGCAGCAGCCAAGGGCUCCACGUCCAGCAGUGCCACGUACAGAACCUUGGGAACAACCCAGUCCUUGUCCACAUCUUCUGGGAGAGAGACCUCCAGGGCUCCGGGGUCCACAGGAAUGACAGAUUUCACUGAGGUGGCAGACUCUCCCCUAACACACUCUGGCUCUCCACUUUCCCCAGCUACUGGAAGCAGCCAUGUGUCAUUCAGCAUCCUGUCAACAGAGAGAAGAACCAAUUUCCCCACCACCAUCACCUCUGUUUACACAACAGGCACCAAGGGAGGAGGGAGGACAUUAAGGUCUCUGCCAGCCAGCACCACCCUGGCCCAAACAACAGAGGUUUCCACCACUGGUACUGAAAGCAUCAGCUCUCCAGGCCAUUCCCAGUCUUCUUUGGGAACCCAGGGUGGUGGUGGCAGAGGUUCCACCCUGUCAUCUGUGAACCCAUUGCUCGCAGGCUCACCAUCUGCUCCAGAAAGCACUUCCCCAGACAAGGCCUCAGCAACAGGAGGACACCUGCCUCUCACCAGCACACCCGGUGUGGUGGGAACUGCCACUAGGGAGGAGAGCAGCACAGUGCCUGUGUUGGACACCCAUGGAGCUUCCAGUGCCACAGGGAGCUCUGCUCCCUCUCCCCCCCACACCAGCACCCUGGACACGGUGCUGCUGUCCUCACCAGCAGCACAGCCUGGGACACAGAGUCGUGUUUCACAGAGCGGGGCAGGACUCAGUGAGCUUCCAACAAAGCUGCUGCCUGCAUUUUCUGCCAGCGUUUCAAUGCCUUCACCUUCAGCCACACUCUUCAUCCACAAGGAAGGGACACCUCAAGCCCCAGGUAGCCACAGCACGUGGAGCAUAAAAGCAGAAAGCCUCACAUCUCAGCUGGACACUGUUGGGGACACCCACACCGGCCCUGUCCCAUCCUCCACGGCAUGGCCUCCAGUGAGACGUGUGUCAUCUGGCCAAGCAGGGUCCCCAGAGCCCAAGGUCACCCUUUCAUCCAAGGCCUUCACCUACUUCUCUGCUGCUGCUGAACCUUCCACUAUUGGCAGCAGCCAUGGCUCCCUAAGCAGCUCAGGUGCUGAGAAGAGCCUGUCCAGCCCCAUCACCGAUCCCGUGUACAGUUCAUCCCCGUCUGCAGGUGCUGAGGAGAGGAUGCUGCUCUCAGUGACAGGUGGCACUCUGGCUGGUGGCAUGGAGAGCUCUUCUUUCCAUGCUGGAGCUCCCAGCUCUCCAGGGCCAUCUGAGCCAGCCCUGGUGGAGCAGGGCAGGACAGCCAAUGCCUCCACCAGCAGCACGGGCUUCACGGGCUUUGCGACAGAGACCGUGUUUGUGCGUUCUGCCAAGAUACCCACUUACUCUUCUUUCCAGAAUGAU